RNAcentral lists this ribosomal RNA (253 nucleotides) under uncultured bacterium. Its description in RNAcentral is "partial 16S ribosomal RNA". It matches the Rfam family "Bacterial small subunit ribosomal RNA", at positions 524 to 776 of the family's 1533-position model. The record is from RNAcentral.
UACAGAGACUGCGAGCGUUAUUCGGAUUCACUGGGCGUAAAGGGUGCGCAGGCGGCCGUGUGUGUGAGGCGUGAAAGCCCGGGGCUUAACCCCGGAAUUGCACCUCAAACUACACGGCUAGAGCAUUGGAGAGGGUAGCGGAAUUCACGGUGUAGCAGUGAAAUGCGUAGAUAUCGGGAGGAACAUCUGAGGCGAAGGCGGCCACCGGGACCAACACUGACACUGAGGCACGAAAGCGUGGGGAGCAAACAGG